UUGAGGGACCUGAGGCGACAGACUCCGGAAAGGGGAAGAGCAGCCAACAUGGCGGCGGAAAGCGGCGCGGGGCAGCAACAGUCGCAGGAGAUGAUGGAGGUUGACAGGCGGGUCGAGUCCGAAGAAUCUGGCGAUGAAGAAGGGAAGAGGCACAGCAGUGGCAUCGUGGCCGACCUCAGUGAACAGAGCCUGAAGGAUGGAGAGGAGCGGGGGGAGGAGGACCCAGCAGAAGAACACGAGCUGCCUGUGGACAUGGAGACCAUCAACCUGGACAGAGAUGCGGAGGAUGUUGAUCUGAAUCACUAUCGCAUUGGGAAGAUUGAAGGAUUUGAGGUACUGAAGAAAGUGAAGACUCUCUGCCUCCGCCAAAAUUUAAUUAAAUGCAUUGAGAAUCUGGAGGAGCUACAGAGUCUUCGAGAGCUGGAUCUUUACGACAACCAGAUCAAGAAGAUUGAGAAUCUGGAGGCGCUAACAGAGCUGGAGAUACUAGAUAUUUCUUUUAAUCUGCUGAGAAACAUCGAAGGGGUUGACAAGUUGACACAACUGAAAAAACUCUUCUUGGUCAACAAUAAAAUCAGUAAAAUUGAGAACUUAAGCAACUUACAUCAACUACAGAUGCUAGAGCUGGGAUCUAACCGCAUCCGGGCAAUCGAAAAUAUUGACACGUUAACCAAUCUGGAGAGUUUGUUUUUGGGGAAAAACAAAAUUACUAAACUUCAGAACCUGGAUGCGCUCACCAACCUGACGGUCCUCAGUAUGCAGAGCAACCGGCUGACGAAGAUCGAGGGUCUGCAGAGCCUGGUGAACCUACGGGAGCUGUACCUCAGUCACAACGGCAUCGAGGUCAUCGAGGGCCUGGAGAAGCAACAACAAACUCACCAUGUUGGACAUUGCAUCAAAUAGAAUCAAAAAGAUUGAAAACAUCAGCCAUCUAACAGAGCUGCAAGAAUUCUGGAUGAAUGACAAUCUUCUUGAGAGCUGGAGUGACCUCGACGAGCUGAAGGGAGCCAGGAGCCUGGAGACGGUGUACCUAGAGCGGAACCCCCUGCAGAAGGACCCCCAGUACCGGAGAAAGGUCAUGCUCGCCCUCCCCUCUGUGCGGCAGAUCGACGCCACGUUCGUCAGGUUCUGAGUCCUCCUUGCUCCUCACGGGGUCCCUGUCCUCGGAAGAACUGCCCAGCCAGUUUUUUAACCUACCUGUUGCUCCUGAGGUCGUCACUGUAUCAACAGUCACAAACCCAAUGGCAGUAAAGGCACUGACAUAGCUGACGCGUGACGCACGCGCAUUUUCAGAUGCCAUUGCAAUUAAACCUUGCCACAAGUCCUCCUGGGUGAGUGUCGACAGUUAUUGUAGCCACAGGGAGAGUGCUGGACACGUCGUGUUCGUCUGCUAGAAAUUCCUUUGUUUCCUCCUCUCAGGAGGCGGUCACAGGCCCCACCUGAGCCGUGCGAAACACAGGGCCUAAGGGUGCUUCACGGCAUUCACGUGCAGUCCGGGUGGUGCUCCGGAGCUGGCCCGGCUGGCCUCAGUCCCGGUUAGCAGGGUUCAGGCAGGCCUGACUGCAACAGCUGAGGUUUUUUUAGUCUUUUAAAUCAGACAAGGCCCAUUUUUAAAAAUUACGUAAGUUUAAAAAAAAGCAUGGGUAAAAGCUGCCUGAGGCCUGUGUGCUGUGUUGCUUAGAGCUGUCCUUUAACAAGCGCCGGGCAGGCCAACUGCUUUCACGUGUGCCUGUCAGUUCUCGCCGCAGCUUAGGUGGGUGUGGGUGAAAGCUCAGGUGUGGGGAGGGCGCCCCACGUCCGCACGGUCUGUACUGCUGCCAGAGUGCGAGCCCAGUGAAUCUCCACAGACGGCCCCCAAGGAUCGGAACUCUGGGCCCCUUGUGCAGUGGCCUCCGGUUCUCACCCCAUUGUUUUGGCUUUUUUAAUAUAAAAUGUACAUUGACAGA
Non-coding RNA from Saimiri boliviensis boliviensis (Bolivian squirrel monkey), 1946 nucleotides. NCBI's taxonomy places the organism in Eukaryota, Metazoa, Chordata, Mammalia, Primates, Cebidae. The record is from RefSeq and is a predicted model, not a curated record.